This 268-nucleotide unclassified non-coding RNA is filed under the name Hevea brasiliensis (rubber tree). The record is from RNAcentral. Lineage: Eukaryota; Viridiplantae; Streptophyta; Magnoliopsida; Malpighiales; Euphorbiaceae.
UCCAGGACAACAUGAAAAAUAUCAGAUGGGCAAUAAAAACAGGUAAAAACUGUAAUCAUGUCUUAAAGCUGAAAACAAGUCGUAGCCUUGCUGGGACAGCAGGCAUACGUGGCAAUGGCAAGUCGUAAUCAGCUGUUUAAUCGUAAAAGAAAAUCCAGAUCUUUCACAACCCAUACUUUGCGAAUUUACAUAAUUUCAGCAGUUGUACAGUCAAGGCAAUGACUGUGCAAGUAUACAAAGACAUUCGAUACCGAUCCAAGAAACAGGA